UACGAAGGGGGCUAGCGUUGUUCGGAUUUACUGGGCGUAAAGCGCACGUAGGCGGGUCUUUAAGUCAGAGGUGAAAGCCCAGGGCUCAACCCUGGAAUUGCCUUUGAUACUGGCUAUCUUGAGUGUGGGAGAGGUUAGCGGAACUCCGAGUGUAGAGGUGAAAUUCGUAGAUAUUCGGAAGAACACCAGUGGCGAAGGCGGCUAACUGGCCCAUUACUGACGCUGAGGCUCGAAAGCGUGGGGAGCAAACAGG
This 253-nucleotide ribosomal RNA is filed under the name uncultured bacterium. RNAcentral describes it as "partial 16S ribosomal RNA". It matches the Rfam family "Bacterial small subunit ribosomal RNA", at positions 524 to 776 of the family's 1533-position model. The record is from RNAcentral.